This 194-nucleotide ribosomal RNA is filed under the name uncultured beta proteobacterium. RNAcentral's name for it is "partial 16S ribosomal RNA". It matches the Rfam family "Bacterial small subunit ribosomal RNA", at positions 339 to 525 of the family's 1533-position model. Lineage: Bacteria; Pseudomonadati; Pseudomonadota; Betaproteobacteria. The record is from RNAcentral.
CUACGGGAGGCAGCAGGGGGGAAUUUUGGACAAUGGGCGCAAGCCUGAUCCAGCAAUGCCGCGUGCAGGAUGAAGGCCUUCGGGUUGUAAACUGCUUUUGUACGGAACGAAACGGCUCUUUCUAAUAAAGAGGGCUAAUGACGGUACCGUAAGAAUAAGCACCGGCUAACUACGUGCCAGCAGCCGCGGUAAUA